This 253-nucleotide ribosomal RNA is filed under the name uncultured bacterium. RNAcentral describes it as "partial 16S ribosomal RNA". It matches the Rfam family "Bacterial small subunit ribosomal RNA", at positions 524 to 776 of the family's 1533-position model. The record is from RNAcentral.
UACAGAGGUCUCAAGCGUUGUUCGGAUUCAUUGGGCGUAAAGGGUGCGUAGGCGGCGCCGUAAGUCAGAUGUGAAAUCUUCGGGCUCAACCCGGAAACUGCAUUUGAUACUGCGGUGCUUGAGGACUGGAGAGGAGAUCGGAAUUCACGGUGUAGCAGUGAAAUGCGUAGAUAUCGUGAGGAAGACCAGUGGCGAAGGCGGAUCUCUGGACAGUUCCUGACGCUGAGGCACGAAGGCCAGGGGAGCAAACGGG